AAUGGGGUAUUAGCAUCUGAAUUUAGCAACGGAUAAUUCCGUUGCUAAAUUCAGUAACGGAUUUGCAACGGAUUACAUAUAUAUUAUUUUUUUAAUAUCAGCAACGGACUUUAGCAACGGAUAAUCCGUUGCAAAAUUUACGUUGAAUUUAGCAACGGAUUUUCCGUUGCUAAUUAAAAAAAUAAUUAUUUAAAUUUUAAUAUAAAACCAAAAUUACGAACACCGUUGAUUACAUUUACAAGGAUUAAAUCCCAACCGUUUAUUUUUCGCUGGCUUUGGUAAAUCGACCCCAGUGCUCUUCCCCCACACCGAAAUGCAAACAGAUCUAGACGAAAUGAACAAAACCAACAGAUCAAAAUUAAUGAUCUUCCACUCUUCCAGUCUCCUUCGUCCCUAACAAAAUCGAACCAGAACUGUAGAAAAAUCACCCUCUCUUCAUCGAUUUGAUUUUCCUUUAUCCCAAACAUUUCAUCUUCUUCGUGUCUUCAGCAUCCCUAAUUUCUUUUCUUCAUCUUCUUCUCCUUCAUCUGAACAAAAUCGAACCAGACCCAUCAUUAUCACCAUCGAACGUGCUGAUUUAAGGUAUCUCCUUGUAAACGGGUUGGGUGUUUCACGGUUUUCUUCAAUAGUUCAGGUUUCUUUCUGUCCUGUAGAACGAUCUCGGUCACCUGUAACUCAAGAACACAGCAAUAUGAAUGGCUUAUUGGAUCACAAUAUAAAUCAAUAGAGUUGGCUAAGUCUGAUUGGGUUGCAACAAGGAAAUCUCCACUUUGGGCCAUUGAUUAUUGGGGCUUUGGUAAGUCAAUUUUGCUCCAUUUUUUGAUGGUUGCUUAAUUAGAUUAUGCUUAAUUUGUCUGCUGGGCAUGCCUAUUGUAAUCUUUUCAAUUAAUUGGAACUCUGUUUUUCAUUGGGAUAAGAUUAUUCAUAUUUAAAUUUAUUGUCCUUGUAGAUCCUAGUAUGUGAACAUGAUGCUGGGAUUAUAUUCAAUUAACUUUUCUGGGCA
Populus nigra (black poplar) is the source of this 1003-nucleotide long non-coding RNA. RefSeq lists it as uncharacterized. The transcript has 3 exons. The record is from RefSeq and is a predicted model, not a curated record. NCBI's taxonomy places the organism in Eukaryota, Viridiplantae, Streptophyta, Magnoliopsida, Malpighiales, Salicaceae.